Molecule: ribosomal RNA, 606 nt
Filed under: uncultured Actinomycetes bacterium
Lineage: Bacteria; Bacillati; Actinomycetota; Actinomycetes
Description: bacterial SSU rRNA
Rfam family: Bacterial small subunit ribosomal RNA
Source: RNAcentral
GUGAGGUAGUGGCUCACCAAGGCAACGACGGGUAGCUGGUCUGAGAGGACGAUCAGCCACACUGGGACUGAGACACGGCCCAGACUCCUACGGGAGGCAGCAGCAGGGAAUAUUGCACAAUGGGCGCAAGCCUGAUGCAGCGACGCCGCGUGAGGGAUGAAGGCCUUCGGGUUGUAAACCUCUUUCAGGAGGGACGAAGCGCAAGUGACGGUACCUCCAGAAGAAGCCCCGGCCAACUACGUGCCAGCAGCCGCGGUAAUACGUAGGGGGCGAGCGUUGUCCGGAUUCAUUGGGCGUAAAGAGCUCGUAGGCGGCUCAGUAAGUCGGCCGUGAAAGCCCAGGGCUCAACCCUGGGAGGCCGGCCGAUACUGCUGUGGCUAGGGUCCGGUAGAGGAGAGUGGAAUUCCCGGUGUAGCGGUGAAAUGCGCAGAUAUCGGGAGGAACACCAGUAGCGAAGGCGGCUCUCUGGGCCGGUACCGACGCUGAGGAGCGAAAGCUAGGGGAGCAAACAGGAUUAGAUACCCUGGUAGUCCUAGCCGUAAACGUUGGGCACUAGGUGUGGCGGAUUCAUUGACAUCUGCCGUGCCGUAGCUAACGCAUUAAGUG